Long non-coding RNA from Carassius carassius (crucian carp), 464 nucleotides. RefSeq lists it as uncharacterized. The record is from RefSeq and is a predicted model, not a curated record. The transcript is spliced from 4 exons. Lineage: Eukaryota; Metazoa; Chordata; Actinopteri; Cypriniformes; Cyprinidae.
UUCAGUUCUGAUGUCUGCUUGACUAUGAUGUGACCAAGGAUUUGUAGUUAGAAACUGUCCUGUCUUCUGACUAAGAAAUGUCCAAUGCUGUCUCGUGGACCGACAACUUUGCUUGGAGGUGUGCUGAAUUGCAUCUGUGGUUUUCACACUCCAAAGUUUACCAAGCCAAGAUUUACUAGCUCAUACAUAGCUGCAGCAAAGCCAAAUCUUAGUUUGGCCAGGAGACCUUCUCAGGUUGAAGACCAGCCCAGCGCAGCAGUGUCUUGUGCCUCUAGACCAAGCACUACAGUCUCUACACCUGAUCCUACAGUUCCAACCCCUGUCCCCAGAGCCACUGCAGAUGUGUCCAGUCCCGCUCAGUCAUGCAGGAUUGUCUCGAUUUCCUAUUCGGCUUACAUGCCCUGAAGUAGUUUCUUAAAAAUGUAAGCUGAAAAAUGGUCAAUGUCUACGGAGUUUACUUAAAA